CCUACGGGUGGCUGCAGUAGGGAAUCUUCGGCAAUGGGGGCAACCCUGACCGAGCAACGCCACGUGAGUGAAGAAGGUUUUCGGAUCGUAAAGCUCUGUUGUAAGAGCAGAACGUGUGUGAGAGUGGAAAGUUCACACAGUGACGCUAACUUACCAGACAGGGACGGCAAACUACGUGCCAGCAGCCGCGGUAAAACGUAGGUCCCGAGCGUUAUCCGGAUGUAUUGGGCGUAAAGCGAGCGCGGGCGGUUGGAUAGGUCUGCAGUUAAAGGCUGUGGCUCAACCAUAGUAUGCUUUGGAAACUGUUAAACUUGAGUGCAGUAGAGGAGAGUGGAAUUCCAUGUGUAGCGGUGGAAUGCGUAGAUAUAUGGAGGAAACCCGGUGGCGAAAGCGGCUUUCUGGUCUGUAACUGACGCUGAGGCUCGAAAGCGUGGGUAGCGAACAGGAUUAGAUACCCUAGUAGUC
Molecule: ribosomal RNA, 465 nt
Filed under: uncultured bacterium
Lineage: Bacteria
Description: partial 16S ribosomal RNA
Rfam family: Bacterial small subunit ribosomal RNA
Source: RNAcentral